RNAcentral lists this ribosomal RNA (342 nucleotides) under uncultured bacterium. RNAcentral's name for it is "bacterial SSU rRNA". It matches the Rfam family "Bacterial small subunit ribosomal RNA", at positions 28 to 334 of the family's 1533-position model. The record is from RNAcentral.
GAUAAACGCUGGCGGCGCACAUAAGACAUGCAAGUCGAACGGAAGUCGUUAUAAAAAGGAAAGAAGAUUUAUCCGAUUGAAUUUUUAUAACAAUGGCUUUAGUGGCGGACUGGUGAGUAACGCGUGAGCAACCUGCCUACUAGAGGGGAAUAACAGUGAGAAAUCACUGCUAAUACCGCAUAUGCCGUGAACAUCGCAUGAUGAAAACGGGAAAGGAGCAAUUCGCUAGUAGAUGGGCUCGCGUCUGAUUAGAUAGUUGGUAGGGUAACGGCCUACCAAGUCUACGAUCAGUAGCCGGACUGAGAGGUUGAACGGCCACAUUGGGACUGAGAUACGGCCCAG